Molecule: small nucleolar RNA, 170 nt
Organism: Caenorhabditis elegans
Lineage: Eukaryota; Metazoa; Nematoda; Chromadorea; Rhabditida; Rhabditidae
Source: Ensembl
CUUCUUGGGAGUCGAAAGAUUUCGAAAUGACAAAAUUGCGAAAUCGGGCUACUUGAGUCCGAGUCCUCAUAUUUCAUGAUCACAAGUUCUCGAGUUUCAGGAAUACACUCUGUAAUAUUCUACAUUUUCAGAACUUCAGAAUAAAUUAUGUGUCCCGAAAAGCUUGUAUU